Long non-coding RNA from Syngnathus acus (greater pipefish), 2474 nucleotides. RefSeq lists it as uncharacterized. The record is from RefSeq and is a predicted model, not a curated record. The transcript has 2 exons. Lineage: Eukaryota; Metazoa; Chordata; Actinopteri; Syngnathiformes; Syngnathidae.
CAUACCAGCAGACCGACCACUACUGCGAUUCUUAUGGAGGGACAUGCCGAGGGACCGACCACCUGAUGUGUAUGAGUGGCAGGUGCUUCCCUUUGGAGCGACUUGCAGCCCCUGCUGUGCAACGUUCGCGCUACAGAAGCACAUCACUGACCACAGCCAAGCAGAAGGUUGGAAACUGUGGCUCAGCCAAGGUCAACCUGAUUUACAAGAGCCGGCACUUGGACUACAAUGAAACUAUAAGUCUGACACACUCACCUAUGGACACAGACACGUUGACUGCUCGGUGGUUACAAUGAGAAACAUCUAUGAAGUUUUACCCAGACAAUAUGGCCCUCUUGGCUACAUUGUGCCUUAUACCACCCGAGCCAAAGUCAUCGUACGCCACCUGUGGGAGAAGAAUAGAGAAUGGGAUGACCCACAGCUUCCACAGGAGCUGAUGAAGAGGUGGCAUGAAUGGGGAGACAGAACCUAUUACACCUGUCCAGAUAACCCUGCCCAGGUGCUACAGUAGUGGAUCAAUCCAACUCUAAGAGUCUGUGUUGAUGUGUUCUGUGAUGCCUCUGAGCAGGCAUAUGGCUCAGUAACUUAUUUGAGAACGGACAUUCCGGAGGAGGAAAUAGAAGUUGCAUUCCUCGCAGCCCGAUUACGAGUUGGCCCCAAAAAGCAACAGUUUAUUCCCUGGCUCGAGUUGUGUGCUGCCCUGACAGGUGCACAACUCUACAAGGUCAUCUGCACAGAGUUACCCCUGCAUCCGCAGCUGUACCGUCUGGUCAGACUCCGCUACUGUGCUAACCUGGUUGAGCACAGACUCAUGCAGAUACGAGGUCUUUGUGGGCACACGUGAAAUACGCAGAAAUACAAGAGUUAACAUAUGCUGGCACAUGGAGGUACGUGCCAUCACAAGACAACGUGGCAGACGAUAUACUAACCCGUGGCCUCACCCUCCAAGACAUCAGGCAGAGAAACAGACCUGCACUUCUAAGACGACCUCCUUACCCCCUCCAAUACAAGACCAUGGAGGCCAUUGCCCAUCAGCUUCAUGGCGCGGCCGAUUCCAAGAGCCCCCUCACUUCCGAGUCUUAUGCUACUGCCUAUUUCCACCCAACUGUUUGCCCAACGUGCCAGACCGCUUCGCGAGGCCUCUAUUCCCUAGCGUAAUUUUUUCACAAAGGGGAACGUGUACUGCCAAACAUUACGCUUUCUUGGAACGUACAAGCAAACAAUCAACUUACCCGACGAGCCAAAACCAACAGUCACGUUGACGUGGUUCCAUAUGUGCCUCAAAAACCGCAGGUCUGUGCCAUGGCAUCAAGUCGAGAGCUCUCCGGUCCCUUCUUUAUUCAUUGCUGCUAACCGGAGUGAAAUAACUCAGGCGAAAACUUUAAGCAACUGCCAGCGAGGCCGCAACUGACUGGCCGCGGCUCCUGUCUCGCCACUCUCCGAUCGGAUCGUUUUGUCUCAAUGUGACAAUUCAGAAAUCUGCAUUCAAAAGUCUCCGACUUCAGCCAGAAAUAACCCAGAGAGGAUUCUGACACGGUCUUAAGUACAGCAGCGUGAGAACUUCCAGGUAACAGUGGAUGCUUUGAGAGGCGAAGCAUGUUGCAAUUACGACACCUGUGAUGGGUGCCAACAUUCGUUCUGAUUCGAGGCAGGCAAUUCACUUUUCUACGCCUGCUCAAAGCCGAAUUCCAAUCACGGCCCCAACAUUAUUCACAAAUGUUCUUUUGUUGGCGGCUUUCCUUUAAGAACUGCGUGUUGUGUCGGGGGAUUCCGUGCAACAGCAAUGAUUGUGCUGGUGGCAUUUCUUUGCUUGUUCUCACCUUUAUUGGAAUGUGCCAAACAUAACAUUUUUGAAAAUACGGGCAAAAUUGGGUGCUUUUUUUCUUUUCACCAACCAAUGCUUGAGCACUACUUGGGUUGCACAUGUCUGGAUGCCAAGAUCAGGCUUGAUGACAAAAUGAGGCGGCGAUAGCGGCUUGUUGUUCGUCGGUUAUUCUAGAAGCUUUAUUGGUGGAUAAUGUUUACAUCUCACAACGCAUUCCACAAACAUUUUCUGGUCACAAAAUGAAAUAUGAAUCACACCAUUCAAACAAACGCUGGACGUUUAGAAAGUGUUGAGCUCCACAUAUAUUAUGCCAUUUUAUGCCUUGCUUGUUUUUCAUGUCAUAUUGAAUGGAAACAAUUUCUUCUGAACAUGUUCCUUCCAUCACUACACAGCCGCCAUGACACCAAAACCACAGCUGCCAAACGUUUUCUAGAAAGGUGAGCCUAGCGAGUUACUCAAGCCAUGAAGAUGACUGUGAUGAAAUUGAUGACGUGUUGGCAAAUGCUCGAGGCCCCGCCCACCAUUCGCUAUCCUUUGCAAUGCAAACAUCCUCCACCCAGAGGAGAAAGAAGUCAGCUGGAGAGGAAAAAAAAAUCUGGCAUCUUCAUCAACUUUGUUUUAAAUAAGUGUCAAUCGGCAGCCACAAAAA